Molecule: small RNA, 69 nt
Filed under: Arabidopsis thaliana (thale cress)
Lineage: Eukaryota; Viridiplantae; Streptophyta; Magnoliopsida; Brassicales; Brassicaceae
Description: ATSL198770
Source: RNAcentral
UCUUGUUAGAAGAUACAAAGCCAAAGACUCAUACAGACUUCGGUUACACCAUCAAAGCAUUGAGAAGCA